Archocentrus centrarchus (flier cichlid) is the source of this 764-nucleotide long non-coding RNA. RefSeq lists it as uncharacterized. The transcript has 4 exons. The record is from RefSeq and is a predicted model, not a curated record. NCBI's taxonomy places the organism in Eukaryota, Metazoa, Chordata, Actinopteri, Cichliformes, Cichlidae.
CAGACAUACAUUCCCUCUGAAAUGAUCAGGUACCAGGACUGAAAAUGAGUGAAAGCAUAAAGCAGCCAAUGCAAAGUGCUUUGUUAUUGUGCAACUGUUGUGUAAUGUACAGUGAAGCAGUUAUCUCCUUUUAUUUUUUUAUGAGUUGGCUUUGUUAAAUGAAGAUAGCUGGAGAGCCUUGCAGGAAGUUAAUCUUUGAUGUUACUCUGUUAAUGUUACCAAGCUUGUUUUAAAUUCCUUCUUUGCAGCCACUGGGCCAGAACCACGUAACCUACCCUUCUUUGCCAAGUGUGGAAAUUGCAGAAAAAGGAUGACAUAAUUUUGGCAGUUUUGCACCGGAAGCUGGGCAGUGUAACUCAUUAAGCUCAGAUCGGCCAUGAGAGUAGUCCAAGUUUAAGUUUUUCGUAUGGCCGAAGGACCCAUGGCAAGGUGUCUGUCUUUCCGGCUGUCUGCAGCCCCUACAGCGCUGGUCAGAAUGUAUUCAAACGUGCAUACAAUGAUCACCUAAUGGGUCUUCACAGAAAUUGUGCUCAAGUUACCGGCUGCUCACACAGAAAGCAGGGAGUGGACGGCAGCGCUUCUCUACGAUUACACUCUGCAGAAAUUUCCCAACACUGACAUUAAACUGCCGGGGGGAGCCGCCAGGAACAAGCUUAAUAAUGAAAGCAAGAAUUUUGAAAAUAUCUGAGUUGGAGUUGGACCUGCCAUCCCAGGAAAUGAAGACUGAAUUACAUUCAUUAAUAAAAAUAUAAAUUAUAUAAAGA